UUGGCAGACCGGGAGAUUUCUGUUUAUCCACAGGACAGGUACACUAUAGCCAGUAGCAAUACAGGCGUCCCCGCAAUGCCCUAUCUGCGUGCCUCCACUCUGACCUGGAACAGCUACCUCUGGGGAUGAGGAUGGUUUCCAGGCCCACUUAGUCUCUGGCCCCU
RNAcentral lists this small RNA (164 nucleotides) under Crocodylus porosus (Australian saltwater crocodile). RNAcentral's name for it is "TUC338 (ENSCPRG00005001405.1)". Lineage: Eukaryota; Metazoa; Chordata; Crocodylia; Crocodylidae. The record is from RNAcentral.